This 426-nucleotide ribosomal RNA is filed under the name uncultured Verrucomicrobiota bacterium. RNAcentral describes it as "bacterial SSU rRNA". It matches the Rfam family "Bacterial small subunit ribosomal RNA", at positions 353 to 772 of the family's 1533-position model. Lineage: Bacteria; Pseudomonadati; Verrucomicrobiota. The record is from RNAcentral.
AGUCGAGAAUUUUUCUCAAUGGGGGAAACCCUGAAGGAGCGACGCCGCGUGGGGGAUGAAUGGCUUCGGCCCGUAAACCCCUGUCAUUUGCGAUCAAACCUUACAUUUUAAUAAAGUGUGAGCUGAUAGUAGCGAAAGAGGAAGGGACGGCUAACUCUGUGCCAGCAGCCGCGGUAAUACAGAGGUCCCAAGCGUUGUUCGGAUUCACUGGGCGUAAAGGGUGCGUAGGCGGUCGGGUAAGUCUGACGUGAAAUCUUCAAGCUCAACUUGGAAACUGCGUCGGAUACUAUUCGGCUAGAGGAAUGGAGGGGAGACUGGAAUACUUGGUGUAGCAGUGAAAUGCGUAGAUAUCAAGUGGAACACCAGUGGCGAAGGCGAGUCUCUGGACAUUUCCUGACGCUGAGGCACGAAAGCCAGGGGAGCAAA